This 253-nucleotide ribosomal RNA is filed under the name uncultured bacterium. RNAcentral describes it as "partial 16S ribosomal RNA". It matches the Rfam family "Bacterial small subunit ribosomal RNA", at positions 524 to 776 of the family's 1533-position model. The record is from RNAcentral.
UACGUAGGGGGCUAGCGUUGUCCGGAAUCAUUGGGCGUAAAGCGCGUGUAGGCGGUCCGGUAAGUCCGCUGUGAAAGUCGAGGGCUCAACCCUCGAAUGCCGGUGGAUACUGUCGGGCUUGAGUACGGGAGAGGCGAGUGGAAUUCCUGGUGUAGCGGUGAAAUGCGUAGAUAUCGGGAGGAACAUCAGUGGCGAAGGCGGCUGCCUGGCCCAAUACUGACACUCAGGUGCGACAGCGUGGGGAGCAAACAGG